AUUGAACGCUGGCGGCAGGCCUAACACAUGCAAGUCGAACGGUAACAGAAAGCAGCUUGCUGCUUUGCUGACGAGUGGCGGACGGGUGAGUAAUGUCUGGGAAACUGCCUGAUGGAGGGGGAUAACUACUGGAAACGGUAGCUAAUACCGCAUAACGUCGCAAGACCAAAGAGGGGGACCUUCGGGCCUCUUGCCAUCGGAUGUGCCCAGAUGGGAUUGGCUUGUUGGUGGGGUAACGGCUCACCAAGGCGACGAUCCCUAGCUGGUCUGAGAGGAUGACCAGCCACACUGGAACUGAGACACGGUCCAGACUCCUACGGGAGGCAGCAGUCGGGAAUAUUGCACAAUGGGCGCAAGCCUGAUGCAGCCAUGCCGCGUGUAUGAAGAAGGCCUUCGGGUUGUAAAGUACUUUCAGCGGGGAGGAAGGGAGUAAAGUUAAUACCUUGGCUCAUUGACGUUACCCGCAGAAGAAGCACCGGCUAACUCCGUG
RNAcentral lists this ribosomal RNA (490 nucleotides) under uncultured bacterium. Its description in RNAcentral is "partial 16S ribosomal RNA". It matches the Rfam family "Bacterial small subunit ribosomal RNA", at positions 30 to 507 of the family's 1533-position model. The record is from RNAcentral.